ACAGAAAAAAGGAUAAAUUUUAUGGUUCAAAAGGGAUAAACAUUACAGGGUGGCAUGAAAAGGCUCAAAGUACCAAUAAAAAUUGCCUCAAUGUGAAUUAAAGUUUAAACCAAUCAGCUAGCAGAGAAUAAAUGCAAGUUCUAGAAAAUAAACAAGUACAUGGUUACUCUCAUCAGAUAUAGAAAAGAAAAGGUAAUACCGUGGAAAUAUUUGGUCCAAAUCCUCACUGACUACGGUAUUUGAAAGUUGAAUCAUUUUACCUUGCAAAACAAUGUCUUUCCUACGCGUCUGCCUGUCUCUCGAACCUUCGCGUUUUCAUGAGCAAUCACACUUUAGUGUUGUCUUUGUGUAAAGGCUUGCAAAAUUUAGAUCAUUUAAUUCUAGCUGUUACCAAACUGAAAACUUGUAGAGGCAUAAAAACAUGAGAUUUAAUAAUAAACAAACGAUUAAU
RNAcentral lists this long non-coding RNA (451 nucleotides) under Trifolium pratense (red clover). RNAcentral describes it as "long non-coding RNA (TPRA_LNC000097)". The record is from RNAcentral. Lineage: Eukaryota; Viridiplantae; Streptophyta; Magnoliopsida; Fabales; Fabaceae.